Molecule: long non-coding RNA, 2780 nt
Organism: Syngnathoides biaculeatus (alligator pipefish)
Lineage: Eukaryota; Metazoa; Chordata; Actinopteri; Syngnathiformes; Syngnathidae
Exons: 7
Source: RefSeq, a predicted model, not a curated record
CCGGAACCCAUGUUUCUUAGGAACAUUUAUUGCAGACGGACGCAGUGUUUGGAUGUAACUAAACUUGGCUAAAAACGACGGAGGAACAUCUCUUUUCCCUUUCCCGGCGAGCCGUCGACGAAGCCGCGGCGUGAUCGCCAGAACGUCGGCCGGCAGACACAGAAUAAGUUCCCAAAUGUUGGCGUGAGCUCAGCUGCAGUUGGCCCAACUGAAAUUUCAACGGUUUGAAGUCAGACUGAAGACUUCAAAUGUCAGGAGAUGCUCGAUGACCUCCAGCCAUCAAAACUUCAAAAUAAAAGACACGGAAUAAAGUCCGAGAGCCCAAAAUCAACUUUGAGAAAGUGAGGAAGAAAAGUCCAAGAAAAUCCGGAGCAAGCUUUCCUUUUGCUAACCGGACAGAAGCGGAGACUGCGUCACAGCUUAAAGCCAAGCUCCCGAAACCCGAGGAAGCAGGCUGCCGGAGACAGCGAGUCGGGGAGGUCCGAAGCGGGACAAAAGCGUGUUGUCCAGACGUAGUCUCGAGUGCAGUUGCCCGGAGAAUAUUUACCGAACCCUGCACGCUGCACGAGAGUUCAGUCUGGUUUGGUCGCAUUGCUCGGUGUGCGGCAUGAGGCUCAAGUUUACUAGGCUGAGGUCUUCUGAGACGUAAGAUUCCCAGGAAGCCGAAAGUCUUGAUGGUUGAGACGAGACAGUUGGACAGCGUGAGGGGCAGCUGCGGUGAAGGAUGCCUCCUGAAGUCCACACUCAUCUCCACAGUCUUUAGUCCAUUCGGCUCCUGGUUGCGUUCCAGUCUCUCCGCUUCCCGCGAAUACGCAGACGCGUCACAGUCUUUGAUGAGGCUGAUGACUGUGGUGUCAGGAUUUUGACAGCCAGGUGCUUUGAGUGGCAGUCGUUUGUGUCGAGCGAGGAGAGCAGCGGGGAGAGGACACAACCUUGGGGUGCGCCAGUGCUAAUGACGCGAGAUCCCGGGUUUCUUUGGGACCGGGAUGACGUUUGAAGCAGGGUGGCUUCUUCGCACAGUUUGAGAGAUCCGCUUGAAAAUGUUUGUGAAGACUGCAGCAAGGUUGGUCCGACGGAGACGCAAGGUUUGGGCCCACCGCUUUGUUAAACUUGUGUCGUUCGAAGGUGCAGCUCGAAGCGGUCGGGGGUGCGACUUGGUGGGUGUGUCAAGUGAAAGUGUCCUUUUCAAAUCUGCGGUAAAAGCUACCGGACAAUAUUGAAACCGGUUUAACAUUUACGUCAUUUUCCAAGCAGAGAGUAAAAACCACUCUUCAAACGUGCAAUGUUCAGGCUUUUCGUUUGACGGGAGGAAAUUUGCCCAAAUUCCUCCCGAUUGUCGUUAUGUCAGCACCCUUUGACCGGAAUCGCAACGCAGCCCACUCGGUUGUCUUUCGCUUUGCGUCCGACGAAGUGGGCGCCGACAGACUCGGCCGUCACGCCUCUCGCUGACUGCGUGUGGCGAGCUGCAGUCAUAACAUGCAUUUUUCAUCGGUCGCUGCGGUCUAUGACGACAAGUGCGGCCGCGGUUUUCCGUGCGCGUCUGUUCUCCGCACGCACGCAAGCGGACAAGUCGCGGCUUCCUGGUGAGUUUCGCUGAACUGACCCGAGUCGUUAUACUGUCACUUCGGCUUUAGUUUAACUCGCUGAAUGUUUCCAAGCAGGCGGUUAUGGGCCACUUAGCGAGCCGCUAACACUUAACGUUCCCGUCGGAGAGAAGUGCAGCCUUCCACGGUGGGGCAAAAAAAGUAUUUAGUCCCCCGCUUGAAAAGAUGAGCGAGGCCUGUCAUUUUCAUCAUAGGGAUGCCUCACCUAUGACAGACAAAAUGAGAAAAAGAAAAUCCAGGAAAAAAAAUACCCUCAUGUUUGGCCACCUGCAAACAAAUCAGGUUUCUGGGUCUCGCAGAUUUGUAAAGUCUUCCUUAAGAGGCUCCUCUUUCCUCCACGCGUUACCUGUUUGAGUUUGUUAUCAGUACAAAAGACACCUGUCCACAACCUCAGUCCCACUCCAAAGUCCACAGUGGCCGAGACCAAAGAGCUGCCAAAGGACGCCUGAACCAAAAUGAAGACCUGCACAUGCCUGGAAAAACCAAAUCUGCAACAGGUGAAGAAAUCAAUUGUGGGAGCAAUUGUUGGAAAAUGGAAGACAUACAAAUCCGCCUAGAAGAUCCCUCGAUCUGGGGAUCCACACAAGAAAGAGGACCAAAUGAUCACGAGAACGGUGAGCAACAGUCCCGGGACCCCGUGAAUGACCUGUAUUGAGUGGGAACCAAAGUAACAAAGGCUCCCAUUGGUGCCAAACUUCCCGGCCAGGGACUCAAAUCCUGUCCCUCUGCUUAAGCCAGUACAUGUCCAGGCCCGUCUGAAGUUGGCAAGAGAGCAUUUGGAUGAGCCUGAAGAGGAUUCAGAGAAUGAAACCAGAAUCAAAUUUUUGGCUCAAAACGCAUUUAGGGGAGAAAGAACACCGUCACUACCGUGAAGCGUGGGGGCGGAAACAUCGGGCCUCGGGGCUGUUUUUCUGCAGCGGGACGAGAGCGACUGAUCCGUGUCCAGGAAAGAAUCAGUGGGGCCAUGCGUGUCGGGUGAGAUGUAACCAAUCGAUGGGGUCAACGCCUCUCGGUUGCCCCCCCCCGAGACGCGGAAAUCUCCGAGCUCAGCGUAACUGAGCGGUACGGGUAUUCUAUUCCUUGUAAUCGGUAUUUGAAUGGAUUUUUGAUUCCUAGCCAGGGAACGCUGUACUUUCAAAUGGUCGAUUUGAUCAUUUCAAGCAUUUUUAAUAAGUU